Long non-coding RNA from Erinaceus europaeus (western European hedgehog), 488 nucleotides. RefSeq lists it as uncharacterized. NCBI's taxonomy places the organism in Eukaryota, Metazoa, Chordata, Mammalia, Eulipotyphla, Erinaceidae. The record is from RefSeq and is a predicted model, not a curated record. The transcript is spliced from 2 exons.
GAAGCCUUCUGGACCUAGGAACUCCGCUGAUCGAGAGGAUAGGCCUAUCCGAAUUCACAGAGUCAUCGCAGCCGAGGGAGUAACGCAAAGACUCGCAUAGAUCACCAUGGAGCUACCCGACCAUGAGUCGCAUCUGGAGGAGAGUGUCACAGCGGCUGAGGAAAACAGCUCAACAAUCUGAAGAUGGCUCCAAAGAAGUCCAGCCGUGUGAUGCUUCCUUGUCUUCUCUAACUGCCCCUAUUAUUGGCUGUUCCCACCCGUGCAGCGCUUGUUUUUCAAUAGGAAUUCCAGGUUAGAGAGACACAAACUAAGGACUCACACACCAUAGUCCAAAACAUUGGCACGGCGCGCUGUCCUCCUAAAGGUUGCCAGGAGACUGUUGUUAUUAAGAUUUCUCCCAAAACUAUAUCUAGCACCUAUCGGCCUUAUGCCUGCUUUCCCUUUGAUAAUAAAGACAGGAACGGAUGCCGUACUGAUGUUUCCACUUA